RNAcentral lists this ribosomal RNA (503 nucleotides) under uncultured Acidobacteriaceae bacterium. RNAcentral's name for it is "bacterial SSU rRNA". It matches the Rfam family "Bacterial small subunit ribosomal RNA", at positions 8 to 492 of the family's 1533-position model. The record is from RNAcentral. Lineage: Bacteria; Pseudomonadati; Acidobacteriota; Terriglobia; Terriglobales; Acidobacteriaceae.
AGAGUUUGAUCAUGGCUCAGAAUCAACGCUGGCGGCGUGCCUAACACAUGCAAGUCGAACGCGAAAGGGGAGCAAUCCCUGAGUAGAGUGGCAAACGGGUGAGUAACACGUGGGUGACCUGCCUUCGAGUGGGGGAUAACGUUCCGAAAGGAACGCUAAUACCGCAUGACAUCCUGCUCUUGGACGAGCGGAGAUCAAAGCUGGGGAUCGCAAGACCUGGCGCUUGAAGAGGGGCCCGCGCCUGAUUAGCUAGUUGGUGAGGUAACGGCUCACCAAGGCAACGAUCAGUAUCCGGCCUGAGAGGGCGGACGGACACACUGGGACUGAGACACGGCCCAGACUCCUACGGGAGGCAGCAGUGGGGAAUUGUUCGCAAUGGGCGCAAGCCUGACGACGCAACGCCGCGUGGAGGAUGAAGAUCUUCGGGUCGUAAACUCCUGUCGAAUGGGAAGAACGUUUCGCGGAUGAAUAAGCCGCGGAAGUGACGGUACCGCUAAAGAGCC